GGGAUUGCCUUAGUAACUGCGAGUGAAGCGGCAAAAGCUCAAAUUUGAAAUCUGGUACCUUCGGUGCCCGAAUUGUAAUUUGGAGGCAUAUCUUCGGGGUUGGCACUGUCCUAAGUUCCUUGGAACAGGACGUCAUAGAGGGUGAGAAUCCCGUGCCUGGAUGGCUGACCAGCCCCAUGUGAAGUGUGUCCUACGAGUCGAGUUGUUUGGGAAUGCAGCUCAAAAUGGGUGGUAAAUUUCAUCUAAAGCUAAAUAUUGGCGAGAGACCGAUAGCGCACAAGUAGAGUGAUCGAAAGAUGAAAAGCACUUUGAAAAGAGAGUUAAAAAGUACGUGAAAUUGUUGAAAGGGAAGCGCUUGCGACCAGACUCAAUUUUAGGUGAUCAACUGGGCUUCGGUUCGGUGCCAUUGCCUUUGAUUGGGCCAGCAUCAGUUUUGACGGUGGGAUAAAAGUUAGAGAAAUGUGGCUUCCUUUUGGAAGUGUUAUAGCCUCUUUCAUAAUGCCACCAGUUGGGACUGAGGACCGCGCUUCGGCUAGGAUGCUGGCGUAAUGGUCUUAAGCGACCCGUCUUGAAACACGGACCAAGGAGUCUAACAUCUAUGCGAGUGUUCGGGUGGAAAACCCUUGCGCGUAAUGAAAGUAAACGGAGGUAUGAACCUUUUGGGUGCAAUAUCGACCGGUCCUGAUGUCUUCGGAAGGAUCUGAGUAAGAGCAUAGCUGUUGGGACCCGAAAGAUGGUGAACUAUGCCUGAAUAGGGUGAAGCCAGAGGAAACUCUGGUGGAGGCUCGCAGCGGUUCUGACGUGCAA
RNAcentral lists this ribosomal RNA (807 nucleotides) under Sepultariella semiimmersa. RNAcentral's name for it is "LSU rRNA". It matches the Rfam family "Eukaryotic large subunit ribosomal RNA", at positions 71 to 896 of the family's 3401-position model. Lineage: Eukaryota; Fungi; Ascomycota; Pezizomycetes; Pezizales; Pyronemataceae. The record is from RNAcentral.